RNAcentral lists this long non-coding RNA (477 nucleotides) under Homo sapiens (human). RNAcentral describes it as "HSALNT0010814". The record is from RNAcentral. Lineage: Eukaryota; Metazoa; Chordata; Mammalia; Primates; Hominidae.
UCACAUUAUUUGCUGGCAGUGUGUGAAGUCAACGAACAAGACUGAGUCUUUGCCCUUGAGACGCGUACACUCUACCCAGAGACAAGUUCUAAGCACAGGAAACAAGUAAUUUUAUAAGAACAUCAUAGGGCAGUUAUUCUCCAGAUGAAUUCAGAUUAAAGAGGACACUUGAGCCGGUUAAAUUUCACGUGUGGUGGUGGACUCGGUAUAAACAUCAAAUUGAACAUGUAUUGAGCUUUCCUCAACAAUCUUUCACAUUCGUUGAGGUGAAUCAGAUUAUUAAAGGCAAAAUGAGAUUCUCAUUAUAAGCGGGGACAAUAUAGCUAUUGAAAAGAGAGAUGAACCAGUUGGUAAAAUGGAUUUGGAGGAAGAGAGCCAUGGUUUGGAAUAGAACAUGAACGAGUGCAGAGGAGUGGAAAUUACCACAGUUUGCCAAAGAGAGAAGAAGUUAAACUUGCCAUCUGAACAAUGGAAUUC